Molecule: long non-coding RNA, 8099 nt
Filed under: Piliocolobus tephrosceles (Ugandan red Colobus)
Lineage: Eukaryota; Metazoa; Chordata; Mammalia; Primates; Cercopithecidae
Description: lncRNA (ENSPTEG00000011000.1)
Source: RNAcentral
AGCAUUUGUAGUGAAAAAAUAAUAUAUAAAAAAAAAAAAAAAAUUUUAAACAAUUUAUUUUUUUUUUAAAUGUUUAUGCUCACAUAUGUACAUGUACCUUUUGCGAGUUAUACACUUGGUUAUUGUAUUAAAUAAAUUUAUGACUGCAUGAACUUUUUUUUUUUUUUUUUUUUUUUUUCAUAAACAUACACACGUACAUAUAUAUGUUUGUAUAUGAAAUAUUUUUCCCUUCCCCCUUUUUUUUUUUUUUUUUUUCUUUUUUUUUUUUUGCUGUUCCUUAUUUAUAAUAAAAACAAAUGGAUGGGGAAAUGGUAGUAAGAAGGUCUACUAGACUAGUUCAAAAUACCGAACUAAAGAAAGUUGUAAAUUACACCUUAACCCAUAAAUCGAGUGAAGAGGAUAGAUCGGACGAUAAAGAAAAAAAAGGAAACAAAAAAAAAAAAAAUAAUAAUAAUAAUAAUAAUAAUAAUAAUAGUAAUAACAACGAGGAGGAUAGUGAGAUUAGUACUGAUGAAGCGGAUUCAUAUGAAGACAGUGAUUAUUUAGAGAGCUCAAAUACUGUUGAUAAAGAUAUUGAUAGCGAAUCUGCAAGUUAUGAAGACGCGUCAGUAGAAGGAGGUGCACAAAAAAAAAAACAAAAUAAGUAUAGUGGCAGGAAUAGUAACUAUAAAAAGAAAAAUAAUAAAGCAAAAAAAAACAAGAUUUCAACAAACAGUAAUGAUAAAAAUAAAGAUACACAGAACGAAAAUGAGAAACUUAGUUACAAAAAUAAUGCUUCAAAAAAUAAUAGUUAUAUAGAUAAGCUAAACAAAGAUGUAGAUGAUGAAGAUUUUGACAUUUUCAAAAAAAAAGAUGAUAAAAAACAGGGAAAUAAUAAUAAAAGAAUAUCAACAAAUAUACGAAAUAACAGUAAAAUAAAUUCUAAAAAACGAAAAAGCACAUAUGAUGAAUAUGAUAGUAGUAGUAAUAAUAGUAACAGUAGUGGUAGUGAGAACGACUCUUUAAAUGAUAGUGAUAACGAAUACACAAGUAAAAAUAAUAAAGCAUCAAAAAAAUUAAAAAAGAAUAACACUACGAUUAGUAAUAUGCCUCUAAACAAUAAGAAUAAACUACAGAUGAAUAAAGAUUUUGAUGAUUUUAAUUUAUAUGAGAAAAUAAAAAAGAGUUCUAAAAAUAUACAUGAUAUAAUAGAACAAAUAUAUUAUAAUUUAUUUAAUGGUGAAGAACGUAAUGGAAAAGUUAAGAUAUCUAGUUUUUUUUUAAAUUUUUUAGCCGAAUGUUCAGGAAAUGAAUCGCUUACUUGGACUAUUGAUAUAAUUGAUUAUAUAGAUAAGCAAAUAUAUUUGUAUGAAGAAAUUAAUGCUAAUAAUAAAUUAGAUGAUUCAUUUUUAGUUAAUAAUAAUAAUAAUAAUAGUAAUAAUAAUAGUAAUAAUAAUAAUAGUAAUAAUAAUAAUAAUAGUAAUAAUAAUAGUAGUAGAACCAUACAUAAUAAUGUAUCGGUUCAAAUGGAAUUAAUUACACCGUCUACUGUCCAAUCAAGUCGUAAUAAAAUAACAAAUAUUAACGACAUAAUAAAAGAUGCAAUUAAUUUUGAAAAGGUAUGUACAUUUAAAUGUGAUAAAUUAGAACAAUAUUUAACCUCCGAUUUGGAUAAUGAUGUUUUGAUAAAAUAUAAAAAUGAAAAUAAUAAAUCUUAUAAAACGUUUUGUAAUUUCUUUAUUGACUUUUCUUAUCAUUUUGAUGAAAAUUAUAUAAAUGAUGUUUUAUACACAUUUAUAUGGAUAUUUGCAUUAAGUGUUACUAAGUAUAGAAAAAUACGAUUUACUGCUUCUUUGGCUAGUUUUUGUAUAUUGUUAGGAUUAUGUAAAAAAAUCAAUUAUAUCAAUAACCAUGAAAAGCAGUCUAGAAAGCAACUGUUAGCUGAAUAUAUAAGAGAAAGGACAAACACAAAAAUGCUUAUGCAAAGAAGAAAUAGUAGUAACGUAGAUAACCCUAAGGAUAACAUGAGUAAAAGUGAUAAACAUAAUGUAGACAUCGAAGAGCUAAUCAUAUGUAACAAAAACAGAAAUAACGAUGAAAUGUGCUCAAUAAUAGACAGAAAUUUGAUAGUCACACAAUUAAUUAAUAAUAUAAAUGAAGACAGAAAGAAUUUAACCAUAUUAAAUAAUUUUCUUUUAUGUACAUAUAAUGUACUCUACAAAAAUAAAAUAAAAGAUGUGUUUUUAGAUAUACGUAUUAUUACAUUAACGCAUUAUUACUAUUAUUUAGAAGUGCUUACUGUUUAUUUUAUUAACAGAAAGUUUACAAAAUUAUUAAUAUGGAUACUAUAUGAUAAAGAUAACAAAGUUAAACUAUGCUGUUUAGAUGUACUUAUUUAUUUAUGUAAUUAUUAUAAUAGCACAAGUAAUAAUAAUAAUAAUAAUAACAAUAGUAAUAGCAAUUUUAAAAUUGUUGAAUUAUUAUACUUAUGUAAAAAAAAAUUAAUAAAUCUUAUUUUUGAUGUAGAUUAUAAUGUAAGACUAAAAACUUUUGAGUUACUUUUACGAAUGAGUAGAAUGAAAAUUAAUAAAUUAGAAUUUGAAAAUUUUAAAAAAAAUAUUAAAAAAAAUAAUUACAUAAGCCAUAACAAAGCAGAUGGUAAAAACGACGCUUCAUCAAGUAGUUCUUCUUCAGAAUAUAAUGACAUGACUAAUGAUGAUAUGUCCUAUAAUGAAAAGGCAAAUAUUAAUAAAAAAAACGAAAAAAACGAAAAAAACGAAAAAAACAAAAAAAACAAUCAAAGUAUGUUACUAUAUAACAACCGUAAAAAAAAACAAACGAUUAAUAGUAUUAAUUCAAACAGCAGUAGUGACAAUACAACUAUAAGCAUAUUGUCAAAUAAAACGAAAAAAAUUAUUAGUAAUUUAAUAUGGUUUAACAAUAAUACAAAUAUAUCAAACAUCAUAACAACGUUAAUAUAUGAAUCUCAUUUUAAGAACAAAAUAAAAGAAACUGGAGACAAAAAAAAAAGAUCAAGUAUAUUUUUUAAUGUAGAACCAAAUGAAACUACUAUUAAUAAUGAAAUAGCUAAAUAUAAUAUAAUAUUUGUUACUCACUAUUUAAAUACAAAUAUACCUAGUGUGAAAAAUUUUGUGCAUUAUUUUGAUUAUCUCCAUAAAUAUAAUGAAAAUAUGAAAUUACAUACUGUUAUUGAUAAAUUUAUUACAGGAAUGAGAAACAAAAUAGACGCUCUUAAUUAUGUAGAUGUUAUAAUUGAAUUGUUAUGUGAAAAUGACAUAGCAACGUUGUCGUACAAUUUCAGGCAUGCUGGUCAAUUCAGUGGGAGUAGUAAUCAACUGGCUCCAACGGGGCAACACAUAUCAAUCGUAAAUAAUGAUAAUGAUAAAAAAAAGAAGAAACAGGAGGAAAGCGAAAAUGUUAGAAAAAAUCGUGUACAUAGAAAAACUAACCAAGGGGUUAAGGAUAGUGUUCGUAGAAGCGGUGGCUCUAACAAUGACAGCGGAAACGACAGCGGAAAUGACAGCGGAAAUGACAGCGGAAAUGACAGCGGAAAUGACAGCGGAAAUGACAAGCACAACCACAACCACAACCACAACCACAACCAUGAUGCGUCAUCGUCCAAUAUCGAGUCCGAACUCCGAAUUUGCUUACUAUACUUAUGCGAAUCAGCUUACCGCAAUUUUCAAAAAGACAUAAACGAAAUCGAAAAAAAUAAGAAUAAAAAAACAGGAGCAGUUAGUAAUAUGAAUAAUGCUUUUUUAGAUAAAAAUACUGCAUAUAAUGAAAAACUAAAAAAUGAUAAUAAUAAAAUAAAACGAAUGAUUUUGUAUACGUUGAGUAUAAUAAAAAAUAGUAAGUUACUUAUAAAAUUACAUCAAACAAAUCAAGAACAUUUAUUACUUGUGUAUAAAAUAUUAAAACUUGCAUUAUCUGAAUGUAUACAUAUAUACAAGAAUGAUGAAAAAAACAAUGUAUAUAAUUUAAGUUACACCGUAUUAGAAUAUUUUGAAAAUGAUAUUGACAGUAAUAUAAAUUUUUUUAUUAACAAUGUUUUUGUAUAUAUAAAAGAAACAUACGAAUAUUUAUUUUAUUUGAUAAAAAAUUAUAAAUUACCUUACUAUUCAGCUAAAUAUACCAUAAAUAUGAUAUCAUUAUUUUUAUCUUUAAACGAUUAUUUUAAAAGUAACAAAUUAUCAAUCGAUUUAUUUUUCGAUUUAUAUUACAAUUAUUUUAAUAAUUAUCUUGAUACAUUUUUAUAUUAUCUUAACAAUUACACUACCGAAAUUGAGUUCGACGAAGAAGAUCAGACAAAGUAUAUACCAAAUGGUGAUUUAAUGGUAACCAUUAUUAAUGAAAACUUAGCUCAAACAGACAGAAAUAUAACAGAAUCCAUCGAAAAUGAUUUAAUUUUAUAUACAACUAACUUAAUUCAUAUGUACACUUUAUGUUGUAAUUAUAUAAAUAAUAACUUAUCAAAUUAUGUUGAAAAAAAAAAUGAAAUUAUGAAAAAAAUUAACAAAACGAUUAACAAAAUGAUUGAAAUAGAUUAUUUUAAAUUUAUUUCCAGUGAAGAGAGUCAAGCAAUAUUUAAAAAUGAUUAUUUAUUGAAUGACAUCUUUGAUGACACUCGAAUGAUAUAUCAUCACGACCAACAGUUAUAUCCAAAUGGUAGUGAUGUGGACAAUUUGGAAAAUGAAAAAAUGGGUAAGAAGGGUGGUGCGAAUACCAUCAAUAAUAGUAGCAACUACUAUAAUAAAAAUGAUACCGAUGAUAUGACAGGUAGAAAUAAACAACGGUUGAUUAAGCAAGACCAACAUAACAUUGAUAGUGGUAAAAAAAAAAAAAAUAAUAACGUAGAUGGAAACAGUAGUAAAAACAAAAGCAGUGACGAUAUUAACUUUCUUAAAAAUACUUUCCCUUUUUUAAACAAUGAUAAUAGUAGUAUUGAUCAUACUUUGGAUUUAAAAAAAUAUAUACACUCAUUGUAUUACAGUGUAGAUGCAUGUGUGCAUGCAAAUGUACUUAUACAAUUAUGUUUUUACAUAAUAAAAAUGAAGGUUAAUUCAAUUCAAUAUUAUAAAGGAACAAAUGCGAACGAAGAUGAAGACAAUGAAAAUGACGUUGAAGCUAAUGAAAGUGUAAGUGAGAAUGUAAACAAUGAAGAGCACAAACACAGACAACGAGGGGCACGGGCACGGGUACGGGUACGGGAUAAGGCUAAAUCGAAAGCUGCAAUUAACACACCAUCCUCCAGGUUGCUAUUAUUAUGUAUCGACCAAAUAUAUAUCAUAUACGAAAAUUAUGUUUAUCAGUUAUGUAAAAAAAGACAUUUCUUUAACUAUGUUUAUGGCUAUUUCAUGCAAUUCUAUAGCAAAAGUGAUGAUAAUAUGGAUAAUAUGGAUAAUGGGGUAGAAAAAGGAGCGGAAAAGGGAACAAGUGGUGGAACAAGUGGUGGAACAAAUGGUGGAGCAAAUGGUGAAGCAAAUGGUGGAACAAAUGGUGGAGCAAAUGGUGAAGCAAAUGGUGGAACAAAUGGUGGAACAAAUGGUGAAGCAAAUGGUGAAGCAAAUGGUGAAGCAAAUGGUGAAGCAAAUGGUGAAGCAAAUGGUGAAGCAAAUGGUAGGGCAGAGAAAGGAAUAGAAAAUGCAACAAAAACCGGAGCAAACGCCGAGAAAAACAAUAACUAUAACAUAAACUUGGAAGAUCUGAAAAAUUUGAACAAGCUAAAUGAAAAAAAAGUUAACAUAUUAAAAAAUUUAUUUAUCGAACUAAAUUAUUUAUAUAUUAACACCAUAAUUUUAAGAAAUGACAUGAACGAACGAUUAACAUUCUUAAUAAAAUGUUCGAAUAACACCAUUCUGAAAUAUGCAACUUUUAUAAAUUUAAUGAGUAUCGCUCAACUAGAAAAUGUAAUUUUAUUUACUAUAGAAGAUUUUGAAAGAUAUCGCACAUUAGAAUGUUUUUUAAACGCAUAUGAUAAAAAAGAAGAAAUGGAUGAAAUUUAUUUAUUAGAUGAUAUUAUAAAUUCACCUAAAGAGAUAAAAAAAUUUAUAAACAAAUUUUUAGAUAUGGAUAUUGAACUGAACCAAUAUAAAAGAGUAUAUAGAUAUAAAUAUGAUGAUGAUAAUAUAUUAUUUAAUUUUGUAACUGAAUUAUUUAAAAGUGUGGAAAAUAUAAAUAACGAUCAUUAUAAUUUUGUUAACUCUUUUUUAUCAAUUGAUAUGGGUGUGUUUUUUCCUAUUAACACAUAUACCUACAUUGCUGAUAUGUGUAGAAUAUAUAACAAAGAUACGUUAAGUAUGAAUAGUAAAAUUUUGGAAACGCAAUAUAUGCAUAUGACUUUAAUAGCUGCACAAUUUAUUCUUAAUUGUAAUAAUAUAAAUAUUUUUAACAGUAAUUUAGGUGUACUGUUAUUAAUACAUUUGAAUGUAAAAAAUAAAGGCUUAUCCAACGUUGCUUUAAGUUUCCAUAAUAAAUUAAAAAAAUAUAAUAUUAACACAUUUUAUGAUGUGCUUUUAUAUUCAUUAAAUGGACUAUAUAGAGCAUACAUUAGUAAUGUUUUAGAAGAAAAAGAUUUAUUGUUAUUUACUACAUGUGUAGCAAAUCGUUUAGGAGUAAAAAUUGUAGACAAACAGAAGUUACCUUUAUGCAAGUUUAUUCUUUCUUGUGUUAAUUGUGCAUUAAAUUUUAAAACACAAAAUAAUUUUAUGAAAUAUAUUUUACCCUAUGCUCAAAAAUUAACUCUUACUGAUCAUCAACUAAAAUAUUUAAAAAAAGAAAUAUUGAAUUAUAUUAAUACGUAUAAUGUAGCUAACCAUACUAGUAUCAAAUAUGAAAAUAGCAUCUUUGAACAUAUGAUACUUAUUAUUGCAAAAAAGAGAAAACUCAGUGACCAAUUUAAAGAAAGCAACUAUGAAAAUGCAUAUAUGAACUUAAACGAAUCGAUACAUAUGAAUAUAAGUAAAGAUGUUACAAAACAUAUACACAAUCAAAAUAUAAAUAAAAAUACAUUAUCAAAUGGACCUGAUUUAAAAACGACUAGGAGUUCAAAAGAUUUGUAUACAAAUACAUACAACAACAGAAGCGGUAGUAAAGGUAACGAUCACACAAUCAACCAACACACAAACAUAGACAAAACAAACUUAACUCAUUCUAAUAAUAUGCAUCAAUCUAGUUUUAAUAAACAUAGGAAUGACGAAAAACGGAGUCAAACAGAGGGAAUAGCAAAAAUAGAAAUUCUCGAUUCAGAUAAUGAACAAAACACUAGUGACAAUAAUAAUAAUAAUAAUAAUAAUAAUAAUAAUAAUAAUAAUAAUAAUGGUAUACAUCAUAAUCAAAAUAAACACUCAGAUAAUACAAAACAUAAGACAAAAUACUCCAGUAAGAAAAACACAUAUGAAGAUGAACCAAAUGUAUACAAUUCUACGUUAGAUAACUUUAUAACUUUAGAUGAAGAUGAUGAUGAUGUUAAUAUUGUAGAAGAAAUACAAAAUAAUGUUCAUGCUCAUAAACUUACGGAUAAUAAUUGUAACAACAGUACCAACAAUGACAAAAACCAACUAAAUAAUAAUAAUAAUAAUAAUAACAAUGUUGUUUAUACUAUAGAUCCUAGUCCUGUGCCUAUAAGGGCUAAUAAAUUAAAAUAUAUACGUCCAUUAAUAAAAGAAGAAACAGAUAGUAGCACCACCAAUGCUAAUCAUAAUGAUUAUUUACAUAAAUCAUUAAAUUUAUCUAAUAAAAAUUCAACGGUAUAUAACUUGAAUAGCUUAUUGCCAAAUAAUAGCGACAGUGGAGAUCAUAGCAGCGAUAAAGACUUAGAUGAUGUAUAUAUUAUUACAGAAAAGAAAAUGAAAAAAAAAUAUGGUAAUAAAAAUGAUGAUUAUGAUGAUAUCAGUUCUGAUAUUAUACCCGCUAUGUCACCUAUAAAAAAAAAACAAACAGAACAAAGUGAAGCGUCUACUCCUAUUUCUUAUGCAGACGACUUGAUGAAUUUUUGAGUUGUCAAAAAGAGAAGCAUAAAAACUAGUAAAAAUAAGUAGUAAAAAUAAGUAGUAAAAAUAAGUAAUAAACAUAAGUAAUAAACAUAAGUAGUAAAAAUA